UGUAAAGUGGCUGAGGUUUAGGCGGUGGUUUGUAAGUCCACUCACAGGAUUAUAUCUUCUUUACAA
Molecule: transfer RNA, 66 nt
Filed under: Arcuatula senhousia (Asian date mussel)
Lineage: Eukaryota; Metazoa; Mollusca; Bivalvia; Mytilida; Mytilidae
Description: tRNA-Tyr
Source: RNAcentral